UCCAGACUCCUACGGGAGGCAGCAGUGAGGAAUAUUGGUCAAUGGGCGAGAGCCUGAACCAGCCAAGUCGCGUGAGGGAGUACUGCCCUAUGGGUUGUAAACCUCUUUUGUCGGGGAGCAAAAGCCGGACGUGUCCGUCUGUGAGAGUACCCGAAGAAAAAGCAUCGGCUAACUCCGUGCCAGCAGCCGCGGUAAUACGGAGGAUGCGAGCGUUAUCCGGAUUUAUUGGGUUUAAAGGGUGCGCAGGCGGGAGAUCAAGUCAGCGGUAAAAUGUCGGGGCUCAACCCCGGCCGGCCGUUGAAACUGGUUUUCUAGAGUUGGAGAGAAGUAUGCGGAAUUCGUGGUGUAGCGGUGAAAUGCAUAGAUAUCACGAAGAACUCCGAUUGCGAAGGCAGCAUACCGGCUCCAUACUGACGCUGAGGCACGAAAGCGUGGGGAUCGAACAGGAUUAGAUACCCUGGUA
RNAcentral lists this ribosomal RNA (463 nucleotides) under uncultured bacterium. RNAcentral describes it as "bacterial SSU rRNA". It matches the Rfam family "Bacterial small subunit ribosomal RNA", at positions 330 to 792 of the family's 1533-position model. The record is from RNAcentral.